GACCUUCUUAGCGAGUCACACUAAAAAACCCCUCCACAUGUUCAACCAAGAAGCUCUCUGAACUCCAUCCUUUGGGGUUCUUAUGGAGGCUUCAUUAUGUAGCUAUGAUUGAUUAAAUCACUGGC
This is a long non-coding RNA of Aethalodelphis obliquidens (Pacific white-sided dolphin), 125 nucleotides long. RefSeq lists it as uncharacterized. The transcript has 4 exons. Lineage: Eukaryota; Metazoa; Chordata; Mammalia; Artiodactyla; Delphinidae. The record is from RefSeq and is a predicted model, not a curated record.